GCAUAUCAAUAAGCGGAGGAAAAAGAAACCAACAGGGAUUGCCCCCAGUAACGGCGAGUGAAGCGGCAACAGCUCAAAUUUGAAAUCUGGCCUCACGGCCCGAGUUGUAAUUUGCAGAGGAUGCUUUUGGCGCGGCGCCUUCCGAGUGCCCUGGAACGGGACGCCAUAGAGGGUGAGAGCCCCGUCUGGUUGGAUGCCUAGCCUCUGUAAAGCUCCUUCGACGAGUCGAGUAGUUUGGGAAUGCUGCUCAAAAUGGGAGGUAUAUGUCUUCUAAAGCUAAAUAUUGGCCAGAGACCGAUAGCGCACAAGUAGAGUGAUCGAAAGAUGAAAAGCACUUUGAAAAGAGGGUUAAAUAGUACGUGAAAUUGUUGAAAGGGAAGCGCUUGUGACCAGACUUGGGCUUGGUGAAUCAUCCGGCGUUCUCGCCGGUGCACUUUGCCUGUCCAGGCCAGCAUCAGUUCGCCGUGGGGGAUAAAGGCGUGGGGAAUGUGGCUCCUCCGGGAGUGUUAUAGCCCCGCGUGUAAUACCCUGUGGCGGACUGAGGUUCGCGCUCCGCAAGGAUGCUGGCGUAAUGGUCAUCAGCGACCCGUCUUGAAACACGGACCAAGGAGUCGUCUUCGUAUGCGAGUGUUCGGGUGUCAAACCCCUACGCGUAAUGAAAGUGAACGUAGGUGAGAGCUUCGGCGCAUCAUCGACCGAUCCUGAUGUUCUCGGAUGGAUUUGAGUAAGAGCAUACGGGGCCGGACCCGAAAGAAGGUGAACUAUGCCUGUAUAGGGUGAAGCCAGAGGAAACUCUGGUGGAGGCUCGCAGCGGGUUCUGACGUGCAAAUCGAUCGUCAAAUAUGGGCAUGGGGCGAAAGACUAAUCGAAACCUUUCUAGUAGCUGGGUUUCCGCGA
RNAcentral lists this ribosomal RNA (897 nucleotides) under Niesslia sp. 'griseo-ochraceum'. Its description in RNAcentral is "LSU rRNA". It matches the Rfam family "Eukaryotic large subunit ribosomal RNA", at positions 38 to 964 of the family's 3401-position model. Lineage: Eukaryota; Fungi; Ascomycota; Sordariomycetes; Hypocreales; Niessliaceae. The record is from RNAcentral.